CAUUGAGGAUUUGAUAAGAGACAUCAAUGUUCCAGUAGAGGUGUUAUUGAAGUUGUGGCUGAAUAGUCCUUUUAUUGAUGCUAAGUAUAUGGGCACCAUAACUCUAAUCCGACAUGAGCAGUCCAACCACGACAGUGAGCAGUGGAACCGCAAGAUAGAGGGUUAACUGGCCAUGCAAAAACUGUUGUGAGGCAUUAAAUGCGGCAGUUGCGGAUGUGGUCGGCGGUUGAGGGAGGGUCUCUGACUAGAGCAGCAGGAGCAAGGAGCUCAAGGAGGUUCAGUUUGCUGGUCCAUAUUAAUUUCCUCGAGCUUAUUUUCACAUCUCGUCAUAUUUACACCUCUCCGCCGACUGCCACCUAUCAUGGAGGGAGAUGGCUUGGUCAGGCCGUCAACACCCAUCGGCAACUUUCGGCAGGCGCCGUCCGUACUUCUGCAUGUAAACUGAAUUGAUUUACCAGUAAAAAUCUGGACAACUCAUUCCAGUCGAUAAUAACCAUUGUGGCAUUACCAUGAUAUGUCAUGUAUCUGCUUUGACUUGUACUAUGUUGCAAAAAGUACAAUAAGAGAUAGAAUGUAUGCACUAUGGCUAGCAGUAACUUUUUUUUGACUUGUACAACAUUUGAUCUAUCUAUUUCUGCAGGCUAUUCCUCUUGUUGCAACCUUUUCCCAUAGAAUCAAAAGGAAUUAGAUUGAAGAAAUUGCAGGAGAGCGGGAAGGGUAUUCCUGGUGUCACAUUCAAAAGCGGUCAAAACGGUGAGGUUUAGAACGGAGGAGCUCCGUGGAAUUAUCGAUAAAAAAUUAUCCAUAACAUGUCUGUCAUUGCUCAUGUCGACCACGGUAUGUGACCGAGCAGUGACAGUUGUCUCUAAUUAUCAAUUUUAUAUAGAGUCUUCUUGAUUGAUGAUUUUGUAGCCUUCUCUUAGUUGUACCAUAUUAAUUCUUAAAACUGGAUCAUUUAAAAUUAGUUAGAUUUAAUGAGUUGUUUCA
This is a long non-coding RNA of Triticum dicoccoides, 987 nucleotides long. RefSeq lists it as uncharacterized. The record is from RefSeq and is a predicted model, not a curated record. Lineage: Eukaryota; Viridiplantae; Streptophyta; Magnoliopsida; Poales; Poaceae. The transcript is spliced from 6 exons.